RNAcentral lists this ribosomal RNA (886 nucleotides) under Staphylococcus sp. M_Sw_oHS_08/11_4_1(2). RNAcentral describes it as "bacterial SSU rRNA". It matches the Rfam family "Bacterial small subunit ribosomal RNA", at positions 23 to 873 of the family's 1533-position model. The record is from RNAcentral. Lineage: Bacteria; Bacillati; Bacillota; Bacilli; Caryophanales; Staphylococcaceae.
CUCAGGAUGAACGCGGGCGGCGUGCCUAAUACAUGCAAGUCGAGCGAACAGACGAGGAGCUUGCUCCUCUGACGUAGCGGCGGACGGGUGAGUAACACGUGGAUAACCUACCUAUAAGACUGGGAUAACUUCGGGAAACCGGAGCUAAUACCGGAUAACAUGUUGAACCGCAUGGUUCAACAGUGAAAGACGGUCUUGCUGUCACUUAUAGAUGGAUCCGCGCCGCAUUAGCUAGUUGGUAAGGUAACGGCUUACCAAGGCAACGAUGCGUAGCCGACCUGAGAGGGUGAUCGGCCACACUGGAACUGAGACACGGUCCAGACUCCUACGGGAGGCAGCAGUAGGGAAUCUUCCGCAAUGGGCGAAAGCCUGACGGAGCAACGCCGCGUGAGUGAAGAAGGUCUUCGGAUCGUAAAACUCUGUUAUUAGGGAAGAACAAAUGUGUAAGUAACUAUGCACGUCUUGACGGUACCUAAUCAGAAAGCCACGGCUAACUACGUGCCAGCAGCCGCGGUAAUACGUAGGUGGCAAGCGUUAUCCGGAAUUAUUGGGCGUAAAGCGCGCGUAGGCGGUUUUUUAAGUCUGAUGUGAAAGCCCACGGCUCAACCGUGGAGGGUCAUUGGAAACUGGAAAACUUGAGUGCAGAAGAGGAAAGUGGAAUUCCAUGUGUAGCGGUGAAAUGCGCAGAGAUAUGGAGGAACACCAGUGGCGAAGGCGACUUUCUGGUCUGUAACUGACGCUGAUGUGCGAAAGCGUGGGGAUCAAACAGGAUUAGAUACCCUGGUAGUCCACGCCGUAAACGAUGAGUGCUAAGUGUUAGGGGGUUUCCGCCCCUUAGUGCUGCAGCUAACGCAUUAAGCACUCCGCCUGGGAGACACCGAGUUGG